Non-coding RNA from Blyttiomyces helicus, 79 nucleotides. Lineage: Eukaryota; Fungi; Chytridiomycota; Chytridiomycetes. The record is from the annotation of a GenBank genome assembly.
GCUCGCUUAGCUCAGUCGGUCAGAGCGUGGUGCUAAUAGUGAGACGCCAAGGUCACAGGUGCGAUCCCUGUAGUGAGCA